GACGAACGCUGGCGGCGUGCCUAACACAUGCAAGUCGAACGGAACUGUUUUGAAAGCUUUCUUCGGAAUGAAUUUGAUUUAGUUUAGUGGCGGACGGGUGAGUAACGCGUGAGUAACCUGCCUUCAAGAGGGGAAUAACAUUCUGAAAAGAAUGCUAAUACCGCAUGACAUAUCGGAACCACAUGGUUUUGAUAUCAAAGAUUUUAUCGCUUGAAGAUGGACUCGCGUCCGAUUAGUUAGUUGGUGAGGUAACGGCUCACCAAGACCGCGAUCGGUAGCCGGACUGAGAGGUUGAACGGCCACAUUGGGACUGAGACACGGCCCAGACUCCUACGGGAGGCAGCAGUGGGGGAGAUUGCGCAAUGGGGGCAACCCUGACGCAGCAACGCCGCGUGAAGGAUGAAGGUUUUCGGAUUGUAAACUUCUUUUAUUAAGGACGAAAAAUGACGGUACUUAAUGAAUAAGCUCCGGCUAACUACGUG
Molecule: ribosomal RNA, 482 nt
Filed under: uncultured bacterium
Lineage: Bacteria
Description: partial 16S ribosomal RNA
Rfam family: Bacterial small subunit ribosomal RNA
Source: RNAcentral